RNAcentral lists this long non-coding RNA (331 nucleotides) under Physcomitrium patens. Its description in RNAcentral is "long non-coding RNA (PPAT_LNC002370)". Lineage: Eukaryota; Viridiplantae; Streptophyta; Bryopsida; Funariales; Funariaceae. The record is from RNAcentral.
UUCGUUUUCAUUGGAGGUUUUGGGGAUCAAGGAGACUGGAGAGGAGCUUCAUGCUUCGGGUCGGAGAAGAAAAGACGAAGAAUUGGAUUUUUCUUCUUCAUAGAGUUUUGGAAAGACUGAGGCAAUCGUUGCUGAAGUCAGUGUUGUAAUGGUGAAUCGGGAUUUUUAAUGAAGUGGGUUUGAGUACUCUUGACUGUUUUGUGAAAUCGAGUUACGUCUGUGAUUGAAGGAUUAAAAAGGUGUUUAUAGGAUUGAGUAUGCGGAGUGAAUGAAAUUUAUUGGAUUAAUCUAACAAGACAGUCAGUGGAUACAAGAUCGUAAGUACAAAGCG